Molecule: ribosomal RNA, 1554 nt
Filed under: Escherichia coli
Lineage: Bacteria; Pseudomonadati; Pseudomonadota; Gammaproteobacteria; Enterobacterales; Enterobacteriaceae
Description: bacterial SSU rRNA
Rfam family: Bacterial small subunit ribosomal RNA
Source: RNAcentral
AAAUUGAAGAGUUUGAUCAUGGCUCAGAUUGAACGCUGGCGGCAGGCCUAACACAUGCAAGUCGAACGGUAACAGGAAACAGCUUGCUGUUUCGCUGACGAGUGGCGGACGGGUGAGUAAUGUCUGGGAAACUGCCUGAUGGAGGGGGAUAACUACUGGAAACGGUAGCUAAUACCGCAUAAUGUCGCAAGACCAAAGAGGGGGACCUUCGGGCCUCUUGCCAUCGGAUGUGCCCAGAUGGGAUUAGCUAGUAGGUGGGGUAACGGCUCACCUAGGCGACGAUCCCUAGCUGGUCUGAGAGGAUGACCAGCCACACUGGAACUGAGACACGGUCCAGACUCCUACGGGAGGCAGCAGUGGGGAAUAUUGCACAAUGGGCGCAAGCCUGAUGCAGCCAUGCCGCGUGUAUGAAGAAGGCCUUCGGGUUGUAAAGUACUUUCAGCGGGGAGGAAGGGAGUAAAGUUAAUACCUUUGCUCAUUGACGUUACCCGCAGAAGAAGCACCGGCUAACUCCGUGCCAGCAGCCGCGGUAAUACGGAGGGUGCAAGCGUUAAUCGGAAUUACUGGGCGUAAAGCGCACGCAGGCGGUUUGUUAAGUCAGAUGUGAAAUCCCCGGGCUCAACCUGGGAACUGCAUCUGAUACUGGCAAGCUUGAGUCUCGUAGAGGGGGGUAGAAUUCCAGGUGUAGCGGUGAAAUGCGUAGAGAUCUGGAGGAAUACCGGUGGCGAAGGCGUCCCCCUGGACGAAGACUGACGCUCAGGUGCGAAAGCGUGGGGAGCAAACAGGAUUAGAUACCCUGGUAGUCCACGCCGUAAACGAUGUCGACUUGGAGGUUGUGCCCUUGAGGCGUGGCUUCCGGAGCUAACGCGUUAAGUCGACCGCCUGGGGAGUACGGCCGCAAGGUUAAAACUCAAAUGAAUUGACGGGGGCCCGCACAAGCGGUGGAGCAUGUGGUUUAAUUCGAUGCAACGCGAAGAACCUUACCUGGUCUUGACAUCCACAGAACUUUCCAGAGAUGGAUUGGUGCCUUCGGGAACUGUGAGACAGGUGCUGCAUGGCUGUCGUCAGCUCGUGUUGUGAAAUGUUGGGUUAAGUCCCGCAACGAGCGCAACCCUUAUCCUUUGUUGCCAGCGGUCCGGCCGGGAACUCAAAGGAGACUGCCAGUGAUAAACUGGAGGAAGGUGGGGAUGACGUCAAGUCAUCAUGGCCCUUACGACCAGGGCUACACACGUGCUACAAUGGCGCAUACAAAGAGAAGCGACCUCGCGAGAGCAAGCGGACCUCAUAAAGUGCGUCGUAGUCCGGAUUGGAGUCUGCAACUCGACUCCAUGAAGUCGGAAUCGCUAGUAAUCGUGGAUCAGAAUGCCACGGUGAAUACGUUCCCGGGCCUUGUACACACCGCCCGUCACACCAUGGGAGUGGGUUGCAAAAGAAGUAGGUAGCUUAACCUUCGGGAGGGCGCUUACCACUUUGUGAUUCAUGACUGGGGUGAAGUCGUAACAAGGUAACCGUAGGGGAACCUGCGGUUGGAUCACCUCCUUACCUUAAAGAAGC